This is a non-coding RNA of Nicotiana tabacum (common tobacco), 411 nucleotides long. The record is from RefSeq and is a predicted model, not a curated record. NCBI's taxonomy places the organism in Eukaryota, Viridiplantae, Streptophyta, Magnoliopsida, Solanales, Solanaceae.
CAAAAUAGAAAGAAAAAACACAGAGGAGAGAAACAAAAGACCAUCCCUUGCUUUUUGCCUUGCUAGCCUGCUGCGUUAUUGUCGGAUGCCCGUGAAAUCUUGCACUCUAACUCUGAAUCUGAUUCAAUUUCAGAAAAAGGAGCAAGAUAUUGCUAAUGCCAUGAUACUUGUUGAAGUAGCAAAACAAAGGCUUCAAGAGUUAAGAGUUGAUGGAUGGGAUCCACUUAAAAUAAGUUGCCACUGCAACCGUUGAAAGAGUUUUUUCUGCAAUGAAGUUUAUCAAGAAUGACUUAUGGAAUCAAAUGGAUGAUGAAUUUUUGGACGGUUGCAUAGUGCCUUAUGUAGAAAAAAAAGUAUUUCGUACUAUUUCUAAUGAGGUUAUUAUAAAAAUAUUUCAAGAGAUGAGACCUC